UACGUAGGGAGCAAGCGUUGUCCGGAUUUAUUGGGCGUAAAGAGCGCGUAGGCGGCUUGGUAAGCCGGAUGUGAAACCCCCAAGCUCAACUUGGGGCGGCCAUUCGGAACUGCCAUGGCUAGAGUCUGGUAGGGGAACACGGAAUUCCUGGUGUAGCGGUGAAAUGCUUAGAUAUCAGGAGGAACACCAGUGGCGAAGGCGGUGUUCUGGGCCAGUA
RNAcentral lists this ribosomal RNA (217 nucleotides) under uncultured prokaryote. Its description in RNAcentral is "partial 16S ribosomal RNA". It matches the Rfam family "Bacterial small subunit ribosomal RNA", at positions 524 to 739 of the family's 1533-position model. The record is from RNAcentral.